GUGCUCUCCUCGGCAGCACACAUACUAAAAUUGGAAUGAUACAGAGAAGAUUAGCAAGACCCCUGUGCAAGGAUGAGAUGCAAAUUUGUGAAAUGUUCCAUAUUUAA
This 107-nucleotide small nuclear RNA is filed under the name Myotis davidii. The record is from RNAcentral. Lineage: Eukaryota; Metazoa; Chordata; Mammalia; Chiroptera; Vespertilionidae.